This 460-nucleotide ribosomal RNA is filed under the name uncultured bacterium. RNAcentral's name for it is "partial 16S ribosomal RNA". It matches the Rfam family "Bacterial small subunit ribosomal RNA", at positions 338 to 795 of the family's 1533-position model. The record is from RNAcentral.
CCUACGGGGGGCAGCAGUGAGGAAUAUUGGUCAAUGGACGAGAGUCUGAACCAGCCAAGUAGCGUGAAGGAUGACUGCCCUAUGGGUUGUAAACUUCUUUUAUAUGGGAAUAAAAUGUUCCACGUGUGGGAUUUUGUAUGUACCAUAUGAAUAAGGAUCGGCUAACUCCGUGCCAGCAGCCGCGGUAAUACGGAGGAUCCGAGCAUUAUCCGGAUUUAUUGGGUUUAAAGGGAGCGUAGGUGGAUUGUUAAGUCAGUUGUGAAAGUUUGCGGCUCAACCGUAAAAUUGCAGUUGAAACUGGCAGUCUUGAGGACAGUAGAGGUGGGCGGAAUUCGUGGUGUAGCGGUGAAAUGCUUAGAUAUCACGAAGAACUCCGAUUGCGAAGGCAGUUCACUGGACUGCAACUGACACUGAGGCUCGAAAGUGUGGGUAUCAAACAGGAUUAGAUACCCCAGUAGUC